This 216-nucleotide non-coding RNA is filed under the name Bacillus sp. (in: firmicutes). RNAcentral's name for it is "Bacillus sp. T-box sequence". It matches the Rfam family "T-box leader". From Rfam's summary of the family: Uncharged tRNA acts as the effector for transcription antitermination of genes in the T-box leader family. T-boxes are found upstream of many aminoacyl-tRNA synthetase genes and some amino acid biosynthetic genes usually in Gram-positive bacteria. The anticodon of a specific tRNA base pairs to a specifier sequence within the T-box motif, and the NCCA acceptor tail of the tRNA base pairs to a conserved bulge in the T-box antiterminator hairpin. The record is from RNAcentral. Lineage: Bacteria; Bacillati; Bacillota; Bacilli; Caryophanales; Bacillaceae.
GUAUAGGCAUUGAGAGGAUCUUAGUAGUUUUUAUCUCCCUAUUUUUCAGAGAGCCAGUGGACGGUGUGAACUGGUAUAUAGAUAAAAGUGAAUUACAUUCCUUGAGCUUUCUUUGUGUAGCAGCAAAGAGCGGUGAGUAGCCGUUAAAAAAUGAAGUGGAAGAGAACAGCUCUCUUCAACAAGGGUGGUAACGCGUGUAAGAACCACGUCCCUUAU